AUACUGAUACGGGACUCUUUUUGGUCUCGUAAUUGGAAGGAAUAUAAUCUAAAUCCCUUAACGAGGAACAAUUGGAGGGCAAGUCUGGUACCAGCAGCCGCGGAUCCAGCCCUGG
RNAcentral lists this non-coding RNA (115 nucleotides) under Aspergillus ruber CBS 135680. RNAcentral's name for it is "Eukaryotic small subunit ribosomal RNA". It matches the Rfam family "Eukaryotic small subunit ribosomal RNA", at positions 477 to 594 of the family's 1831-position model. The record is from Rfam by way of RNAcentral. Lineage: Eukaryota; Fungi; Ascomycota; Eurotiomycetes; Eurotiales; Aspergillaceae.